CUAAUCUGGUGUUUGGGAAGGAAAAUGGAGGACGGGACACACUUAUCCCGUUAACCAAAUUAUCCGCUUCGAAGGGGAAAAAGCUGACCCACCAAAACACCUGGGUCACUUUUGUCCUGCCCUCUUUCGAAGCUUUUGUGAAUAACCUCUCAGCCUCUCACACAAAGUUGCUUUUGCCGGACCGUUCGUCGACUCUGUUCGAGAUCUCACCGGAUCGUUGGUCGCUUCUUUUCGGUUUGAAACCCUCGGGAAAGAAGAAAUUGUGGAAUUCGUUGGAGUUGGAGGCUUUGAGUUGAGGAAGAUUAUAUACUACUCCAGUCUCCAGUAGUAACUCUAUCUCCAUUGUUGAAGAAGCCCUAGUCAAGGAAUAUUGAAUGGCAAAGAGAAGGGUUUAUGUUGUGUUUAAAGGUAGACAACCAGGGAUAUAUAAUUCUUGGUCUGAAUGUCAUCAACAAGUGCACGGAUUUACAAAUAAUUUAUAUCAAGCCUAUAAUACAAUUGAAGAAGCUGAAAUUGCAUAUGUUGAGUUUGUAGAACAAACAAUGAGGAAUCGUAAUGAAGCAAAUCCAAUACAAAAUACCACCACCGUACAUACACAUGCUCAAUUUCACAACGAGUGAGGUAAUGGUUUUGUAUUAGGUUGUUUAUUUGGCU
Molecule: long non-coding RNA, 654 nt
Organism: Ziziphus jujuba (common jujube)
Lineage: Eukaryota; Viridiplantae; Streptophyta; Magnoliopsida; Rosales; Rhamnaceae
Exons: 3
Source: RefSeq, a predicted model, not a curated record